GUGUCAGCAGCCGCGGUAAUACGUAGGUGGCAAGCGUUAUCCGGAAUUACUGGGCGUAAAGCGCACGCAGGUGGCAUGUUAAGUCUGACGUGAAAGCUCCUGGCUUAACUGGGAGAGGUCGUUGGAGACUGGCAGGCUUGAGGUAAGGAGAGGGGUGCAGAAUUCCCGGUGUAGUGGUGGAAUGCGUAGAUAUCGGGAGGAAUACCAGUGGCGAAAGCGGCACCCUGGCCUUGGCCUGACGCUCAGGUGCGAAAGCGUGGGGAGCGAACGGGAUUAGAUACCCGAGUAGUCC
This 292-nucleotide ribosomal RNA is filed under the name uncultured bacterium. RNAcentral's name for it is "partial 16S ribosomal RNA". It matches the Rfam family "Bacterial small subunit ribosomal RNA", at positions 505 to 796 of the family's 1533-position model. The record is from RNAcentral.